This 703-nucleotide ribosomal RNA is filed under the name uncultured bacterium. RNAcentral's name for it is "bacterial SSU rRNA". It matches the Rfam family "Bacterial small subunit ribosomal RNA", at positions 102 to 807 of the family's 1533-position model. The record is from RNAcentral.
ACGGGUGAGUAACGCGUAAUCAACCUGCCCUUCAGAGGGGGACAACAGUUGGAAACGACUGCUAAUACCGCAUACGAUCCAAUCUCGGCAUCGAGACUGGAUGAAAGGUGGCCUCUAUUUAUAAGCUAUCACUGAAGGAGGGGAUUGCGUCUGAUUAGCUAGUUGGAGGGGUAACGGCCCACCAAGGCGAUGAUCAGUAGCCGGUCUGAGAGGAUGAACGGCCACAUUGGGACUGAGACACGACCCAAACUCCUACGGGAGGCAGCAGUGGGGAAUAUUGCACAAUGGGGGAAACCCUGAUGCAGCGACGCCGCGUGAGUGAAGAAGUAUUUCGGUAUGUAAAGCUCUAUCAGCAGGGAAGAUAAUGACAGUACCUGACUAAGAAGCCCCGGCUAACUACGUGCCAGCAGCCGCGGUAAUACGUAGGGGGCAAGCGUUAUCCGGAUUUACUGGGUGUAAAGGGAGCGUAGACGGAAUGGCAAGUCUGAAGUGAAAUACCCGGGCUCAACCUGGGAACUGCUUUGGAAACUGUUGUUCUAGAGUGUUGGAGAGGUAAGUGGAAUUCCUGGUGUAGCGGUGAAAUGCGUAGAUAUCAGGAAGAACACCGGAGGCGAAGGCGGCUUACUGGACAAUAACUGACGUUGAGGCUCGAAAGCGUGGGGAUCAAACAGGAUUAGAUACCCUGGUAGUCCACGCUGUAAAC